GUCACUGGGUUUUCAUAAUGGUUUGUUGUACCUGAGCGAAGGAGACAAUGAUAUAACCAUGCACUGUACAAGAGUUAUUAAAAUAGUUAAGUUAUACUUAUAAAUCCAUCUCCGUCUCUUUCACUGGGUUUUCAUAAUGGUUUGUCUCUGAGAGUCUCAGAAACUCAGAAAAAUGUCUGAAACCACACAUUUCCUUUUGGGUUUGGGGACUGACAUUCAGCAGGAAGGGUGGCAUGGCGUGAGUAGCUGUGUUUUAAAAACAGGGACAAAGCAUGAGAAGAUUGUACGAAAUCACAUUUGUGCCUGUCUGGAAGGGGGACGACUGUGGCAGCCGUCCUAAGUGGAACAAUAUAAAAAGAGGGAGCAGUAUAAACCUGACUCAGGGCCUGUUACAGGGAUCCUCCAACAAUUCCAGCCAAGAGCCAUCCUCAGUUUCAGGAGGCAAAAAUUUGUUUUCUCUUUUCCUUAAUAAUUAAGUUGAAAUAACUGGUAAUGCCUUUUGUAGAUGUUUAGAGGUGUUCAAUUUCCAAGUGGGCCCAUCACCUCCUCUACAGCCCAAAUAAAGUUUAGGCGAACCAAGAGCCCGAAGCACCUGCCCUGCUGGGUCGGGGGCUCUCUCAGUGGCUGGAGCUGUACAAGCCAUUCCGAACCUUCCCACGGCAGGGGAGGGAGCAGAGAGCGCCGAGCUCCUGCAGCGGGGCAGCAGCGGCGCGGCUCCGCGCCUCCCUCACGGCCGCCUCCCCUCAGGGCCCGUCCGCCGCCAUCUUGCGGCUCCGGCGGCGCCCGGGCCCGUGAGGGACGGGUGUCUCGGGGCCGGCCGAGGGGAAGAUCCCCGGGUGGUUCUGGGGACCGAGAUCCCGGGGCCGGGAGAUCCCGGGGCCGGGAGAUCCCGGGACACGCUCUGCUGGGGACAACGGCGGCGUCAGGGUCGCCAAGGCGACCACCCGCCCCGACCCCCAGGGCCACGCGGCAGCCAGUCAGAGUCGUUCUGUGCCGCUGCCCCUCCCGGCCGCCUCCGACACUAAAUUUGUAUAAAUGUUGA
Molecule: long non-coding RNA, 1042 nt
Filed under: Ficedula albicollis (Collared flycatcher)
Lineage: Eukaryota; Metazoa; Chordata; Aves; Passeriformes; Muscicapidae
Description: lncRNA (ENSFALG00000025011.1)
Source: RNAcentral